Dryococelus australis is the source of this 73-nucleotide non-coding RNA. NCBI's taxonomy places the organism in Eukaryota, Metazoa, Arthropoda, Insecta, Phasmatodea, Phasmatidae. The record is from the annotation of a GenBank genome assembly.
CUUUCUAUAAUGUAGUUGUUAUCACGUGCAGCUCACACGUUCAAGGCCUCAUGUUCGAUCCCGGAUGGAAACA